Molecule: long non-coding RNA, 249 nt
Filed under: Setaria viridis
Lineage: Eukaryota; Viridiplantae; Streptophyta; Magnoliopsida; Poales; Poaceae
Description: long non-coding RNA (SVIR_LNC008894)
Source: RNAcentral
AAGCUCAACAAGACUUAACCGACAGGGAGUAAGCUACUCCACCACUUCUAGACAUGCAAGGCUCUUUGGCUAAGGGGUUUGUUUGCCAAAAGCACUAUGUAGAUCCUUCUUUUCAAAGUUUUAGCUCAGAUUCUAAGUUCAUUAUCCGGUCUAAGUUAGCAACUUACUCUAAGCAAACAUAGAUCCAACCAAGAGGGGUAUAUAAGCAUCAUCAAGACCAUGUCAUCAUCAGAUUUCAUUCUUACCCAA